This 445-nucleotide ribosomal RNA is filed under the name uncultured bacterium. RNAcentral's name for it is "SSU rRNA". It matches the Rfam family "Bacterial small subunit ribosomal RNA", at positions 26 to 518 of the family's 1533-position model. The record is from RNAcentral.
AGAGCGAACGCUGGCGGCAGGCCUAAAACAUGCAAGUCGAACGAGCCCUUCGGGGUUAGUGGCGGACGGGUGAGUAACACGUGGGAACGUGCCUUUUGGUUCGGAACAACUCAGGGAAACUUGAGCUAAUACCGAAUGUGCCCUUCGGGGGAAAGAUUUAUCGCCAUUAGAGCGGCCCGCGUCUGAUUAGCUAGUUGGUGAGGUAAAGGCUCACCAAGGCUUCGAUCAGUAGCUGGUCUGAGAGGAUGAUCAGCCACACUGGGACUGAGACACGGCCCAGACUCCUACGGGAGGCAGCAGUUAGGAAUCUGCGCAAUGGGCGAAAGCCUGACGCAGCCAUGCCGCGUGAAUGAUGAAGGUCUUAGGAUUGUAAAAUUCUUUCAGCGGGGACGAUAAUGACGGUACCCGCAGAAGAAGCUCCGGCUAACUUCGUGCCAGCAGCCGC